CAGUAGCCGCGGUAAUACGAAGGAUGCAAGCGUUAAUCGGAGUUACUGGGCGUAAAGCGUGCGUAGGCGGUAGGUUAAGUCUGCUGUGAAAUCCCCGGGCUCAACCUGGGAAUGGCAGUGGAUACUGGCUCGCUAGAGUGUGUCAGAGGAUGGUGGAAUUCCCGGUGUAGCGGUGAAAUGCGUAGAGAUCGGGAGGAACAUCAGUGGCGAAGGCGGCCAUCUGGGACAACACUGACGCUGAGGCACGAAAGCGUGGGGAGCAAACAGGAUUAGAUACCCCCGUAGUCCCUGUCUCUUAUAC
RNAcentral lists this ribosomal RNA (301 nucleotides) under uncultured bacterium. Its description in RNAcentral is "partial 16S ribosomal RNA". It matches the Rfam family "Bacterial small subunit ribosomal RNA", at positions 509 to 807 of the family's 1533-position model. The record is from RNAcentral.